RNAcentral lists this small RNA (182 nucleotides) under Mycobacterium sherrisii. RNAcentral describes it as "Actinobacteria sRNA Ms_IGR-5". It matches the Rfam family "Actinobacteria sRNA Ms_IGR-5". Lineage: Bacteria; Bacillati; Actinomycetota; Actinomycetes; Mycobacteriales; Mycobacteriaceae. The record is from Rfam by way of RNAcentral.
ACACAGGGAAGGAGGUGGUCCGCGAAAUUGAUAGCUUCAUGGACAUGUGAGGUGGCUACGCGCUAGCUGCAUGGCUCGGAAGAGCUAGCGAACUUACGCGCGCUGGCGAAUUCCCCGUAGCCACCCGGCCCCCGAGCAUCCCGGUCUGUCCAACCAGGAGCAUUGCUCGGGGGCCGCUCCAU